AAGCUCUUGCCUCAGGCGGGCGCAGUCCAGGGAGUUAGGGGGCUUGGUCCUCACAAGGAAGCUACUGGGUGCCUCUUGCGGGGGGGUGUUUAGAACUGAUCUUGCCUCUCCCUCCCUCCAGCCUCCUUUCCUGCAGCCAAGAGGACACAGACAGCAAGCAGAGAAGCAACCCCCAGGGCCCUGCUGUGUGCUGUCUUGUUACCAAGGAGCCUGGAAAUUCCCCGACCAGAACGGCACAGCGUGGGUGGAGCUUUGUUCAGGGCCAGGAGAAAUGGAAAAGUUAGGAGAGGAGUUAGGAGACGUAGGGUGGAAAGAUGAUGUUCCGCGUGCAGGGAAAUGGAAUGACUUGUAACUCAUUUCUUUACAAGUAAGAGCCGCUUACUUGGGAGGACACUCAGCUCCUUCCACAGCCCCUGUCCCUGAUGUCCAUCAGGCCAGCAUGACACCAGCACCUCGUGCUGGUCUCAGCAUUAACAAGACUAGGCUCCAUCCCAGAUGAUCCUCAAGCAGGUGACUCUGAGCAGUGGAGUCUGGCCUUUAAUCUUGUGUGUGCAUGUUGACAAUUGAAAGAAAGAGAAGGUAUUUUACACUGUACUGCAACGAGUGUCAUCAGAUAGCAAAGACCAAACCACCAUGUCAUUUCCGAUGGCAUGGGCUCUAACCAUUUAGUUCAGGAGGAAAGAUGGAGUAUUCCCAGGAAGCUUGAGUGCACGUCCCGGCACUACAAUCAGGUGCUGUGCAAAUUCUGGUAAACUAAGCUGGCCCUGCGCAACAAGCUUCCUCCUAUUGCGAAUCUCUCAUUCUCUCUCUCUCUCUCUCUCUCUCUCUCUCUCACAGGUAAAAGUCACAUAACAUAAAGAUAGCCAUUGACCUAAAGCACACAAACAGGGACAUUUAGUACAUCUACGUGAUGCCGAGCCACUGUCCUAAAGAGACACCUGUUUGCAUUGGAGCACUCAGCUCCCACCCUCUGUUCUCUGGCAACACUAGGAAACUUGCUGAGUCUGGAUUGACCUGCUCUGGUCAUUUCCAAGCACGGAAUCUGCAGCAGGUGGCCAUUUGUGCCUGAUGUGUUGGCGAUUCCUCCAUGUUGCACUGGCCAGGGCUUCCUCCUCCUUAUAUGUUUAAAAUGGGGGUGACCCAUGUAGAUCUGUGGGAGGGAAGGACACUCCUCUCCAUGGGAGUGUGGCUAAGGACAGAUGCUUCGAGUGGGUCCUGUCUGACCCUAGCAGCCUGGGGUGGGGUGGGGGCAGAGGGGAGGGAGGCCACCCUCCCUGCCUGUGUGCUGAGGAAGAACCCCCAGAAGACUCGCCUCUGCAGGGACAGCGCACUCUGCGAGGCAGGGCACACGAUAGGACCUGCCUCCUGGGGUCAGCCUGGAGCUAACCAGGAGGAUGCAUGGGAAGCCCUUGGCCCAUGGAAACACUCAACGAAAGACGCCACACCCUUUCUGCCCUUCCUGCUUGAGGUCGGCUUCAGGAAGCCCACUUAGUCCAGGGGGUCUCUUGGCAGACUCUUGGGGACCGUUGCCUGCAGGGCCCAGGGAUACUCUUGGACUACAGGUUGACAUUUCCUGUCCUGGGAUUACGCUGGGUGGUCACUGCCCAGGUUUGCUCCCAGUCCUGUCUUAAUUUCAGAUCCCCCCAGAAGCAGGACUUGGGUCAAAGAGUCAAGGACAAGGGCUGAUUUUGGAGGUUAUCUUGGGGGACUGACAGCAACAACCUAGGAGACGGGUAGUGUCAAUCGGCUUUCUGUUGCUGUGACAGAAUUCCCAAGAUGACCAAGAGCCAUUGAAUAUUAACAUAACGCACAUGCUGCUAUUUAAAGGAGAAAGAUAAAUACAGAUUUGGAAGGGAGAGAAGAAC
Molecule: long non-coding RNA, 1865 nt
Filed under: Marmota monax (woodchuck)
Lineage: Eukaryota; Metazoa; Chordata; Mammalia; Rodentia; Sciuridae
Source: RNAcentral